RNAcentral lists this microRNA precursor (121 nucleotides) under Morus notabilis. RNAcentral's name for it is "MIR408 microRNA precursor family". It matches the Rfam family "MIR408 microRNA precursor family". The record is from Rfam by way of RNAcentral. Lineage: Eukaryota; Viridiplantae; Streptophyta; Magnoliopsida; Rosales; Moraceae.
GGUCAAAAAGCAGAAUAAGGCAGGGAACGGGCAGAGCAUGGAUGGAGCCUUCAACACAAGGAAUGCUGUUGUGGCUCUACUCAUGCACUGCCUCUUCCCUGGCUGUGCCUCUCUUCUUUUU